CGAGCGUUAUCGGAAUUACUGGGCGUAAAGCGUGUGCAGGCGGUGGCGCAAGUCGGAUGUGAAAGCCCUGGGCUCAACCUGGGAAUGGCAUUCGAGACUGCGUCACUGGAGUCUGGUAGAGGGCAGUGGAAUUCCGGGUGUAGCGGUGAAAUGCGUAGAGAUCCGGAAGAACACCGAUGGCGAAGGCAGCUGCCUGGGCCAUGACUGACGCUGAGGCACGAAGGCGUGGGGAGCGAACAGGAUUAGAUACCCUGGUAGUCCACGCGGUAAACGAUGAGCACUAGACGUCGGGAAGUUUGACUUCUCGGUGUCGUAGCCAACGUGUUAAGUGCUCCGCCUGGGGGGUACGGCCGCAAGGUUGAAACUCAAAGGAAUUGACGGGGGCCCGCACAAGCGGUGGAGCAUGUGGUUUAAUUCGAUGCAACGCGAAGAACCUUACCUGCCCUUGACAUCCUGUCGCGGGCCGGGAGACCGGUCUUUCAGUUCGGCUGGACAGUGACAGGUGCUGCAUGGCUGUCGUCAGCUCGUGUCGUGGAUGUUGGGUUAAGUCCCGCAACGAGCGCAACCCUUGUCCUUAGUUGCCAGCACCCCGGGUGGGCACUCUAGGGAGACUGCCGGUGACAAACCGGAGGAAGGUGGGGAUGACGUCAAGUCCUCAUGGCCCUGAUGGGCAGGGCUACACACGUGCUACAAUGGCCGGUACAAAGGGAAUGCGAGUCCGCGAGGGCGAGCCAAUCCCGCAAAGCCGGUCGUAGUCCGAAUUGCACUCUGCAACUCGAGUGCAUGAAGUCGAAUACGUUCCCGGGCCUUGUACACACCGCCCGCCACACCAUGGAAGUUGGCGGCACCAGAAGCGGGUGGUCGAACCCUUCGGGGAAGGCGCUUGCCAACGGUGUGGUCAAUGAUCUGGG
This 911-nucleotide ribosomal RNA is filed under the name uncultured bacterium. Its description in RNAcentral is "bacterial SSU rRNA". It matches the Rfam family "Bacterial small subunit ribosomal RNA", at positions 535 to 1480 of the family's 1533-position model. The record is from RNAcentral.